AGCAGCCGCGGUAAUUCCAGCUCCAAUAGCGUAUAUUAAAGUUGCUGCAGUUAAAAAGCUCGUAGUUGAAUUUCGGGACCAUCAUGUCGGUCGUGCCUCGGUACGUACUGGCAUUGUUGGUUUCUACCUUCUGACGAACCAUGAUGUCAUUUAUUUGGUGUCGUGGGGAAUCAGGACUGUUACUUUGAAAAAAUUAGAGUGUUUAAAGCAGGCUCACGCUUGAAUACAUUAGCAUGGAAUAAUGAAAUAGGACGUUUGAUUCUAUUUUGUUGGUUUCUAGGAUCGACGUAAUGAUUAAUAGGGAUAGUUGGGGGCAUUAGUAUUCAAUUGUCAGAGGUGAAAGUUCUUGGAUUUAUUGAAGACUAACUACUGCGAAAGCAUUUGCCAGGAUGUUUUCAUUAAUCAAGAACGAAAGUUAGGGGAUCGAAGACGAUCAGAUACCGUCGUAGUCUUAACCAUAAACUAUGCCGACUAGGGAUCCGAUGANGUUAAUUUUUUUGAANGACUCAUUCGGCGCCUU
This 520-nucleotide ribosomal RNA is filed under the name uncultured Glomus. RNAcentral's name for it is "SSU rRNA". It matches the Rfam family "Eukaryotic small subunit ribosomal RNA", at positions 569 to 1089 of the family's 1831-position model. Lineage: Eukaryota; Fungi; Glomeromycota; Glomeromycetes; Glomerales; Glomeraceae. The record is from RNAcentral.